UCCAGCUCGGCUCUCUCUUUGUGCGGGGUCUGACCUACCUCAUCGCAAGCCAACAGUGCUUGUGGUUUCCCUUUCCCAAUGGGUGAGCUCAUGCCGUGGAAGACCAUUGAUGGCCUGCUCUUCCAUUCAAAGUAUCUGCAAGCCCACUCAGGCUGUCCGAAAGAGGAGCUUCUUGAAGGAAAUUCCUCUGGGUUGUCUUUGUUCAUGUCCGUCACAGAGCUGCUGCUGGAAGCCUGCAGGAGGCGCGGCGUCCUCAUCCACAGCCUACAACACAGAGAUGCGAGACCCGUGGAGGCUGAUGAUCUGCUUCGAGAAAGAGGACACCAGCUCCAUCACAGCACACGGCAGAAGUUCAGACAGCAGCCCAGAGCUUCAUCACACUACAAGCACGG
This 392-nucleotide long non-coding RNA is filed under the name Sinocyclocheilus anshuiensis. Its description in RNAcentral is "lncRNA (ENSSANG00000035472.1)". Lineage: Eukaryota; Metazoa; Chordata; Actinopteri; Cypriniformes; Cyprinidae. The record is from RNAcentral.